RNAcentral lists this small nuclear RNA (103 nucleotides) under Amborella trichopoda. The record is from RNAcentral. Lineage: Eukaryota; Viridiplantae; Streptophyta; Magnoliopsida; Amborellales; Amborellaceae.
GUCUCUUUGGAAACAUCUUAUAAAAUUGGAAUGAUAUAGAGAUGAUUGACAUGGCCCUGUGCAAUGAUGAUACACACAAAUCGAAAAAAUGGUCCAAAUUUUU